GGGGAUUUAGAAGAGAAGGUUGUAUGUGAAAAGUAUUGGGGGAAAAAAAAAUCAAAAGUGUUCAGUGGGCACCGGGGUGCCACCGGGGUGUUUAGCAGAAGAGUAGUCAUGGGCCAUGGCUUUAGGAAGCAAAGCUUUAGGAAAGUUGACCAGGGAAGCUAGGUUUGGAGGCAGUGGGGGUGGAGGAAGACAGUGAGAGCUCAGAGUUGGUAAGACAAGUUACUAGGUAAUUAAAGUAGUCUUCAAUUAUAGAAGAUUCUUAAAGAAAGUCAAUUACAUCAUUUUCAAGUACUUAGAGUAAUGGUCACAGAAAUGUCACCUUUGGUCUUGAUAAAUCUGCUGAAGCCAAGACUUUAAAUUGUGUGUUCCUAGCAUGAAGAUUGUAUAGACAUGGAUCAAAGUAAUACUUAGAAAUAAUUUGCUCUCAGAUUAAGCCAACCUCCUACUCCCCAAACAGAACUUCCUUUUGUCUGUAAUUUGUGUUAACAUAUCUUUCACAUCUGGCACAAAAUUAAACAAGACUAGUGUAUACUCACAUAACUUAAAAUUCUCCAUGAGUAUGUUCUAGGUUAAUGAGCAUUUGUUACUCUAUCAGGAGUUUCAUGAUAGAAAAUAACAUUAAGGAGUUCCUGUCAUGGCUCAGUGGUUAACGAAUCUGACUAGGAACCACAAGGUUGCAGGUUCAAUCCCUGGCCUCACUCAGCGGGUUAAGGAUUUGGUGUUGCCGUGAGCUGCAGUGUAGGUCACACACACAGAUUGGAUCUGGCAUUGCUGUGGCUCUGGCGUAGGCAGAUGGCUGCAGCUCCGAUUAGAUUCCUAGCCUGGGAACCUCCAUAUGCUGCGGGUGAGGCCCUGGAAAAGACAAAAAAAAAAAAAAAAAAGACAAAGAAAAUAACAUUAAAAACAAUAAAAGAUAGAAAAAUGAAAUUAACUCUCAAUCCACUACUGCAAUACCAGCUGUAUUUCCUUUUCCAGAUUUUGUUCAUUUGCUGCUGUGUCUCACUUUAUGAUGGUGAAACUGUUUACUCAUAACAAGAGAGGUAGUGAAAUUGACUGUCUUUAUCCCUAACAUAACAAUAAUUAUUCUGUUAUAAUUAAGUAAGAACUGCUGGUUUGUAGAUGGCUCUAUCAUGGUACAUGGACAAUUGCUUUCCCUGACUCUGAGCUCCUCAAAGUAAAGACCAUCCUGUUUAGGUUCUCGCACAGAAAGCCUGAUUAAAUCCAGCAAAAUGGUCUGGAGUUUACUGUCUUCUGCUCCAUCCAGCUGACUAAAUGAUAAAGGGUAACAGCUGCAGUACUUUCUUUGUGUGUGUCCUGAUGUAUCUGUGUUUUAAUUGCCAAGUUAGACACUAAUCUCUCUAGUGAGUUGGACAGGAAGUAGGUUGUUACGUCAUGGAAAAAAUAAUCUACGUCUCUGCAUACAGAUUUUAAAGAAAUUAAACCCUGGCUAUUUAUUACUAAUAUGUUUUUGAGAUUAAGUCAUCAUUAUUGGAAAGGAAUGUUUUACUACUUACUCCACUAAUAUUUGGAUGCAGCUACAUUCGGAGUCUAGUUAUAUGGAUUGUGUGUAAUGGUUCACUUGCUACCGAUAAGUCAUUAUCCCCAAUGAACCAGAUUUGCCUGCCUGGGGGAAAUGUUCUGGGAUGUACUACAUUUAUUUAGAAGGUUUUGGUUUGUUUAAUAGCCCUUUUUAGCAAAACCUGAAACUUGAAAGUUGUCCAAAUUCACUACCAGAAUGUAGCUAGAGCUCCUAUUUGGUGAUGAAAGUAUGAAAAGAUCUUGAUUCCUAAUGAUCUUCUAUGUCUCAAUUUAUAUAAAGUUGCAAGUACAUCAUGACCUUUGCUUAUGAGUUACAGAAGCUGAAACAAAAUUAGAUAAUGUUGCAUUCAGCAGUUGAAUACAUGCUAUAAAAAUAAAGCCAAAUUCUAAGAAAACCAAAAAUUAAUUAAAAUGCUUGAUGUAAUUUCAUCACAGUGAAGGUCCAAUACCAUUGUAUCUGCCAAAAAGUUUAUUUUACAGCAAAAAUGAUUUUUGUGAUAUUUUUAAGAAGCUAAAAUUUAUUUUCAUCAUUUCAGCUUUUAUCCCUUUAACUGAUAUUCCCAUGUGAUGCUUAUUCAAGAGUCAAAACAAAAAUAGUCUACAUGGGAAGAAAUUGUUUUUAUUGUCGUAAUGGUCUCCACUAAAGAUUAAAAUGCUCAUUAUUUUAAUCUAAAGUUUUAGAAGGAGAUCAGAAUUUUAUAAAAAAAUAUUUUCCCCAUGAAUUAUUUUUUCUUAUGCCUUGCUUUUUUAAAAAGUAAAUACUCUCUAACUCUGAAAAUUUUUUUCUCUCCAUAAUAAUAAUAAUUGCUAAUGAACAGGAGGGAAGGGGGCAGGGGACAACUUUUAAGAGAAUGACAUUAAUUAAGACAGUGGAUUCAAGUCCCAACAUGGAUUUUGGCUGCAUUAGAGUCCCAGCUCAUGGGUUCAAGUUCCAAUCUGAGUUGUGCAGUUUCAGCAAUACUAAAUGAAAUUUAUAGUGGAAAAAUUUCCACAAAGGUUAUCUCAGUAUAUUUUUAUAAAGUCUUUUGAGGUAGCAGUUAUUGUUUUAUUUGUUGAUGGGUCAGGAUAUUGAAGCCCAAAUCCAUGAAAAGUCUUUUUAAUUCUUAUAACAAGUCUAUGGAAAACCCAUAAUUUGAGUUUGUGGCUGGCUUCCCAGUGUACUGUUCUUUUCAUCAGCCUUGUAUAUCAUGUGUUGAUGGCAAUGGAACAAUGAUUGAAAGUUCCCAAAAAGUUACCUUAAAGUCUUUUUACUGCUUCAGCCAAAGUAUUUUGUCAUAGUCAGAUGUGGUGAUUUGUGCUCACGUUCUUACUCUGCCUUGGUCCCCCAGCAGCUUUGCUUGGCACAGUUUUAAAGCUCUUGCUUAUAAAUGGAAACAUGUGCCCUCUCCCAUCUCCUGUGUCCACUCUCCCCUCAUGCUGUAUCCUCCCUCUCACCCAGAUACUGCUACAUUUAAUGAGCUUACAAUUAUUUUUAAACUUCUUCCCAUGAGGUGGUAUCUUCAUGCCAGCUGGAAGAAAGAAUGUAAUCCAUCUUGCAGAGGCUAAACCAUGGGUCAUGGGAAGAGCAAGGGGAUGGUAAGAAGGGGAUAUUUGAUGGAACGUUCCAUAGAAAUGUCAAACUCAGUAUCACAUUUCUAUCCAACUCCAGAUUUUACAGAUGCAAAUGUUUAGAAUCAAUAAAUCCCAUCUGGCUAGUGGACUUUAUUUGCAAAUUCAUAUCAGAGGUUAUUAAUGGGUGAAUAAUGCUAUGAUCAAAGAACUAGAAAAGAGUAUACAUAUAUAUAUAUAUUUCUGUUGAAGAAUAACCAAACUGCAUGUGAAAGAACAAUGUAGAUAACUAUCCAGUACCAUGUGGUUGUUAGGAAGAGUUGCUUGAGGUUCCAUCAAGGAAGGAGCAUCACACGCCUUGGCCCUCUGGCAUGCUCAUCUCAGUAAGCAUCGCUACCAGCUACUUAGGUCCAAGCCUGGGACCC
RNAcentral lists this long non-coding RNA (3512 nucleotides) under Sus scrofa (pig). RNAcentral's name for it is "lncRNA (ENSSSCG00000051035.1)". The record is from RNAcentral. Lineage: Eukaryota; Metazoa; Chordata; Mammalia; Artiodactyla; Suidae.